UGAGCAGUGCUUGAUGCUGUACUCUGUGC
Molecule: non-coding RNA, 29 nt
Filed under: Rattus norvegicus (Norway rat)
Lineage: Eukaryota; Metazoa; Chordata; Mammalia; Rodentia; Muridae
Source: RNAcentral